GCAAAAAUGAUAUUAUAAUUCAACAUUAAUACAUUAUUCGGAACCUUACAUAUGGUUCAAAUAAUAAUAACACAUCCAAAGUGUAUAAAUCUUCAAGUAUCACACUGAUCCAUGUCUUUCAAGUAACACAUAACUUUACCAUGUCCGUUUAAAACGACGAUAACCCCGGUGAGGAGUCAAAACGCUAUCUUACCGUCUCAACAAGAUGAUA
This 211-nucleotide long non-coding RNA is filed under the name Panax ginseng (ginseng). RNAcentral's name for it is "long non-coding RNA (PGIN_LNC012288)". Lineage: Eukaryota; Viridiplantae; Streptophyta; Magnoliopsida; Apiales; Araliaceae. The record is from RNAcentral.